UUCUCUCAGCCUCUCUUCUAUUUCUCUCAGCCGAUGAAACCAGAUGAGUUUCUCUCAGCCUCUCUUCUCUUCCUCUCAGCCGAUGAACUAGAUUGAGUUUGAUGAAUCAGUUUCAAUUCAGUUUGUUCAUCAUCUGUAAUAGGAUUUUUAGGACUUCGUAAAUUGAUUUUAGGGUUUCUGUCUAUAUUAUGAUUCAUUUUUUCGAUUUUAAUUUGUUCGUCGAAGUUCGAACUUGGAAGAACUGAUCUUCACUCUCAGCUAAUCGUGAGAAAGCAUCUGUUCUACUUUGUUUAAUUUAGAUUUCUUUUCAGAUGCAGAUGGGAAUGAAGUUGAGAAGUUGACUGAGAAGCUACAAAGGGGUUAGCAUAAGGAGAAGCUUCUUAAGCUUGUGGUUUCUCAAUCAACUGUCACUGGUUGGAGCGGCACAUUGUAUUGCUGUUUCUGAUGCGGUUGAUGUCGGUGAUAGAGCUGAGGAUGAAGAUGAGGAAGACGAUGAGGAAGGGGAAGAUGAGUAUGAGAAAGGUGGGGUUAUAAUAGACGAUGUUGAUGUAGAAGAUCAGGAUAAAGAAGAGAAUAGGGAAAGUAGUGAUGAGGAUAAACAAAAGGAGAGGAAAAAGUGGUUGAUUUUCUGUCCACAAAUUCUUUAAGGCUUUCAUUUAUAUAUUUCAUUGUUUUAUCCCUGAAGAUCUGGUUACUAUUAUGAAUGUAAGGAAUCUGAGAAGAAUUAUGUCUUAGCUGAGGAUGAUUAAGAGUUACUGCAGGAUUACAAUGCGGGCUUUCACCGUCCUGCACCAGGAAGUAAAAAGUUCAAGCGACUAAAGAAAGCGGGGAGGGGUAAUUAUUUGGAGGAGCAUACUGGUCUAUCUGACAAUGAUGCAGCGUAUAGAAGUGGUUUUAAGGGAAUAAGUGCUGAAGAAAGCGGGAAGGGGUAAUUAUUUGGAGGCUCAGAAGAUAGGUUUUGACUAUAUGGAUGUGGAGGGUAUGAAGAAGCUUACCAAGAACAAGAAAUUGGUCAAGAAGCUUGCUAAGGAAUACCAUGUAUCUGAAGCCGUUAUUAAGCAAGUUCCUCGUCUUCUUGGACCUGGUCUCAACAAGGAAGGAAAGUGUAUUUCCUUGAACCAAAAAUCUCUAUCGGGAUAAGGUAUACUGAGUGUAGAGUUAUUUAGUCUUUUGUCUUUGUCUGAUGUACCUUUUAUCACGCUCUAGGCAAGUUAUGUUGUAUUUGUUCUGGUUGACACAUGAGCAAGGGAUAAAGGUUCUUGUUAAUGCUAUCCAAGCUUGCACUGAAACAAUAGAUAGCCACAAGGAUAAACUGGUAGUAAAGGAGGCACCAAGAGUGCAGAUUCUCAUUAGCGUUAACGAUUGUUACGACUAAAACAACAUCGAACAGUGGUCGGGUUGAAGAUGCUCCUGAAGUUCCUGAAUCCGAUAUAAGACUUCAAUGAUACCUAUAACAGCAUCGAAGACUUAUCUUUCGACACAGUUAUAUCAGCUUAGAGAAGAGAGAGACAUGAAUCCUGAAACUUUUUCUAGUCUUGUUUCUGCUAUUCUCUACGAGAAAAGGUUUGGUCCACAUUUCUGUCAGCCUGUCCUGCCAUUGCUGGUUUAGGAGAAGAUAAUAAGCCCUUUAUCUGCACAAUGGAUUCAAUUGGUGCCAAAGAAUUUGAGGUGUGGGGCUUACUAUACACGAAGAAAUUACUGGACAGGGAUCUUUGGAGCAAUAAUUUUUCGGGACAGGUGCCAUCUUCUAUUGCUGAUCUAGAGCAUCCGCUUAUCUUGUUAUAUGAAUGAUGCGUUUUCUGAUCGAAAGGCUGGAGAAUAAAGCAGCGCAAGUUUUGUAAGUUUAUUUGUAGGAAGUUAUUAAGUUUCUAUAUAUUCCAUUAGAAAUUUGGAACUUAGUUUCUAUAGAAUUUGAUACUUAACAAAAAAUUGGUACUUAGAAGAAUUUAUGUACUUGCCAAAAAAAAAUUAUACUUGGAAGAAUUUGUGUUCUUUUUUGGCAUGAAUUGGUUGAAUGUGAUGUGAAUUGAUUGCUGAAUGUAAUAUGAAUUGAUCGUUGAA
Long non-coding RNA from Papaver somniferum (opium poppy), 2061 nucleotides. RefSeq lists it as uncharacterized. The record is from RefSeq and is a predicted model, not a curated record. The transcript has 13 exons. NCBI's taxonomy places the organism in Eukaryota, Viridiplantae, Streptophyta, Magnoliopsida, Ranunculales, Papaveraceae.